This 72-nucleotide transfer RNA is filed under the name Olea europaea subsp. europaea. It matches the Rfam family "tRNA". Rfam says of the family: Transfer RNA (tRNA) molecules are approximately 80 nucleotides in length. Their secondary structure includes four short double-helical elements and three loops (D, anti-codon, and T loops). Further hydrogen bonds mediate the characteristic L-shaped molecular structure. tRNAs have two regions of fundamental functional importance: the anti-codon, which is responsible for specific mRNA codon recognition, and the 3' end, to which the tRNAs corresponding amino acid is attached (by aminoacyl-tRNA synthetases). tRNAs cope with the degeneracy of the genetic code in two manners: having more than one tRNA (with a specific anti-codon) for a particular amino acid; and 'wobble' base-pairing, i.e. permitting non-standard base-pairing at the 3rd anti-codon position. Lineage: Eukaryota; Viridiplantae; Streptophyta; Magnoliopsida; Lamiales; Oleaceae. The record is from Rfam by way of RNAcentral.
UCUUCAAUAGCUUAGUGAUUGAGCGAUCGACUCUUAAUAGAUUGCUCGUAGGUUCGAAUCCUACUUGGGGAG